Molecule: non-coding RNA, 1259 nt
Filed under: Cricetulus griseus (Chinese hamster)
Lineage: Eukaryota; Metazoa; Chordata; Mammalia; Rodentia; Cricetidae
Description: Eukaryotic small subunit ribosomal RNA
Rfam family: Eukaryotic small subunit ribosomal RNA
Source: Rfam by way of RNAcentral
UACUCCUUGAAAAGCUUGCCUUGUAAUUCAAACCACUUUCCUGUGGAGCAUCCACAUUCUUGUUUCUCUGUGUUAAGCAUACAGAAUAAUGAAUCAGGAUGAUGCCUCACAACAUUUGCCUAUGUAUUAGAAAGCCAUGCUGAGGUACAUGGAAGGAAAUCGUGAUCUAUCUGGCCCUAAGGGAAGAUGGAAAAAGAGAUAAAAUGGAAAUACAAACUGUGAGCAGUGUCUGCUCUGAACUGUAAACAUCAAUGCGGAAUUUUUGACAGAUGGAGUGGCUCUAUUUUGUUGGUUUUUGGAACUGAGGUCAAAAUUAAGAGGGGCGCUUAGGGCAUUCGUAUUGUGCCACUAAAGGUAAAUUGGACUGGUGAAAGAGAGACCAGAGGGAAAGCAUUUGCCAUUAAUGUUUUCAUUAAUCAAGAAAGAAAGUCAGAGGUUCGAAGAUGAUCAGAAAGCAUCUUAGUUAUGACCACAAACAAUGCCCACUGGAGAUGCAGUGGUGUUAUUCCCAUGAUCCUCCCAGGCAGCUUCCUGGAAACCUAAGUGUUUGGGUUUGCAGGGAGUAUGGUUGCAAAGCUGAAACUUAAAGGAAUUGAUGGAAGGGCACCACUAGGAGUGGAGCCUGCAGCUUAAUUUGACUCUACACGGGAGACCUCACCUGGACCAGACACGGACAGGAUUGACAGAUUGACAGCUCUUUCUUGAAUCUGUGGUGGUGGUGCAUGGCCAUUCUUAUUUGGUGGAGUGAUUUGUCUGGUUAAUUCCAAUAAGGAAGGAGACUCUGGCAUGCUAACUAGUUAAGUGACCCCAGAGUGGUCAGCAUUCCCCAACUUCUUAGAGGGACAAGUGGCAUUCAGCCACCUGAGAUUGAGCAAUAACAGGUCUGUGAUGCCCUUAGAUGUCUGAGGCUGCAUGCACACUACACUGACUGGCUCAGCCUGUGCCUACUCUAUGCCAGCUGGAGCGAGUUACCCAUUGAACCCCAUUCAUGAUGGGGAUCAGGGAUUGCAAUUAUUCCCCAUGAAUGAGGAAUUCGCAGUAAGUGUGGGUCAUAAGCUUGCAUUAAUUAAGUCCCUGCCCUUUGUACACACCGCCAGUCACUACUACCAAUUGGGUGGUUUAGUGAGGCCCUCAGAUCAGCCCUGAAGGUGUCUACCUAUGGCCCUGGUUAGGUGCUGAAAAGAAGUCGAACUUGGCUAUCUAGAGGAAGUAAAAGUUGCAACAAGUUUUCUACAGGUGAACCUGCAGAAGGAUCAUUA